UGGACCUGAUAUCAAGUAAGAACUACCCGCUGAACUUAAGCAUAUCAAUAGNCCGGAGGA
RNAcentral lists this ribosomal RNA (60 nucleotides) under Pythium sulcatum. RNAcentral describes it as "partial 28S ribosomal RNA". The record is from RNAcentral. Lineage: Eukaryota; Oomycota; Peronosporomycetes; Pythiales; Pythiaceae.